GACGGAAGGUGCAAGCGUUGCUCGGAAUCACUGGGCGUAAAGGGCGCGUAGGCGGCACCGCAAGUCGACUGUGAAAUCUCCGGGCUUAACCCGGAAAGGUCAGCCGAUACUGCGGGGCUAGAGUGCAGAAGGGGCAACUGGAAUUCUCGGUGUAGCGGUGAAAUGCGUAGAUAUCGAGAGGAACACCUGCGGCGAAGGCGGGUUGCUGGGCUGACACUGACGCUGAUGCGCGAAAGCGUGGGGAGCAAACAGG
This 253-nucleotide ribosomal RNA is filed under the name uncultured bacterium. RNAcentral describes it as "partial 16S ribosomal RNA". It matches the Rfam family "Bacterial small subunit ribosomal RNA", at positions 524 to 776 of the family's 1533-position model. The record is from RNAcentral.